Molecule: long non-coding RNA, 3630 nt
Organism: Oncorhynchus keta (chum salmon)
Lineage: Eukaryota; Metazoa; Chordata; Actinopteri; Salmoniformes; Salmonidae
Exons: 3
Source: RefSeq, a predicted model, not a curated record
GUGGGCCCCUGACUCGGGCUGCUGGGUCACUGGCCAAAAGACCCAGACACAGCCUCUCACCACGGGGGAACGUUCUGCUUUUACGCCCGGGCGGCCACGCUUCGCACACGGCGCCUCUUAGAGGGAAAUUGUGGAGAGCUUCGUGGAUAAUCGACAAUACACGGACGCUGUUUUGUUAAAAAUAUAUUUUUUAAACGGAUUGACGUUGGUCAUGCUAUACAUCACCAUCAAGAAUUGUAGUGAAAUGGCAGUGUUUUGGAAGGUGAAGUCGCCGACAAUGUUUUGGAUGGAUAGCCUGCCACGCUGCCUCUGUGACAGUUAGUUGUGGUCACAGCACCAGAAGAUGAGAGGCUUCAUUGAGUUUUGUGUAAUCUAAAGGCCAUUCAGCCCUGUGACUGAUGAAGUCCCCCUCCUGUGGCAGCCGACAACAGAGCACAAGAGACCCCACAAAAGGCACUUCGGAUAAAACAAAACCUCUCUAAUUGUGCCUUUGAACCGGUCAAUGGACCAGCGGGCCGGUUGGCUGGUGGUCGGUCCCAGGGGUCGGGCUCUCCUCCUUUGCCAUCCCGAUUAGUUGUUGCUGUGAAAAGUGAACAGCCUUGCUGGUGUGAGUGCUAUGGCGCUGCAGUGUCAGACAGACAGAGACAGGGUGGCAGUCUGUUCCUCUCCCGCAGGUCCCACACCGAGCGCUGCUGUGCUCUCUCAAACCACUAGAACGUGCUCUUCAACAGAUUAUCCACACACUCCUCCCUCUCCCAUCUCCCUCUCCUUGAGAGCAGGGCCCUGCUUCUCAUUUGUAAAAGAGGCAGAAAGAAUGCAAUUUAUAACUGUGAAAGCAGUAUAAAGCCAACACCGACGGUACUCCUGAGGUUCUAGCGCCAGAGCCGGUCUGGUAUAAACAUUCAUAGGCUGGGUCCAUCCGGCCAGCACUGGACCCUCUCCUUCGAUCUCCCCAGCAGGACUAAAGCCUUACUGCUAGAUUCCCAUAAGACAGAGCUCUGGAAAAAGAGAGGAUGAUGAUGAUGAUGAUGAUGACACUGAUUUAGAGAGAACAUUUAGAAAAACAUAUGACUGUUAGUGAAGACAUACAGUUUAGAGGUUAACAUACACCUUAGUAAAAUACAUUUAAACUCAAGUCUUUCACAAUUCCUGACAUUUAAUCCUAGUUCAAAUUCCUUGUCUUAGGUCAGUUAGGAUCACCACUUUAUUUUUAGAAUGUGAAAUGUCAGAAUAAUAGUAGAGAUAAUUAUUUAUUUCAGCUUUUAUUUCUUUCAUUACAUUCCCAGUGGGUCAGAAGUUUACAUACACUCAAUUAGUAUUUUGUAGCAUUUCCUUUAAAUUGUUUAACUUGGGUCAAACAUUUUGGGUAGCCUUCCACAAGCUUCCUAUAAUAAGUUGGGUGGAUUUUGUUCCAUUCCUCCUCACAGAGCUGGUGUAACUGAGUCAGGUUUGUAGGCCCUCCUUGCUCGCACACGCUUUUUCAGUUCUGCCCACAAAUGUUCUAUGGGAUUGAGGUCAGGGCUUUGUGAUGGCCAUUCCAAUACCUUGACUUUGUUGUCUUUAAGCCAUUUUGCCACAAUUUUGGAAGUAUGCUUGGUGUCAUUGUCCAUUUGGAAGACCCAUUUGCAACCAAGCUUUAACUUCCUGACUGAUGUCUUGAGAUGUUGCUUCAAUAUAUCCACAUCAUUUUCCUACCUCAUGACGCCAUCUAUUUUGUGAAGUGCACCAGUCCCUCCUGCAGCAAAGCACCCCCACAACAUGAUGCUGCCCCCCCUGUGCUUCACGGUUAGGAUGGUGUUCUUCGGCUUGCAAGCCUCCCCCUUUUCCGCCAAACAUAAUGAUGGUCAUUAUGGCCAAACAGUUCUAUUAAUGUUUCAUCAGACCAGAGGACAUUUCUACAAAAAGUAUGAUCUUUGUCCUCGUGUGCAGUUGCAAACCGUAGUCUGGCUUUUCUAUGGCGGUUUUGGAGCAUUGUCUUCUUCCUUGCUGAGCGGCCUUUCAGGUUAUGUCGAAACAGGACUCGUUUUACUGUGGAUAUAGAUACAUUUGUACCUGUUUCCUCCAGCAUCUUCACAAGGUCCUUUGCUGUUGUUCUGGGAUUUAUUUGCACUUUUCCCACCAAAGUACGUACAUCUCUAGGAGACAUAACGCGUCUCGGUAUGACGGCUGCGUGGUCCCAUGGUGUUUAUACUUGCGUACUAUUGUUUGUACAGAUGAACGUGGUACCUUCAGGCCUUUGGAAAUUGCGCCCAAGGAUGAACCAGACUUUUGGAGGACUGCAAUUUUUUUCUGAGGUCUUAGCUGAUUUCUUUUGAUUUUCCCAUGAUGUCCAGCAAAGAGCCACUCAGUUUGAAGGUAGGCCUUGAAAUACAUCCACAGGUACACCUCCAAUUGACUCAAAUUAUGUCAAUUAGCCUAUCAGAAGCUUCUAAAGCCAUGACAUAAUUUUCUGGAAUUUUCCAAGCUGUUUAAAGGCACUGUCAACUUAGUGUGUGUAAACUUCAAACCCACUGGAAUUGUGAUACAGUGAAUUAUAUGUGAUAUCAUCUGUCUGUAAAGAAUUGUUGGAAAAAUGACUUGUGUCAUACACAAAGUAAUGUCCUAACUGACUUGCCUAAACUAUAGUUUGUUAACAAGACAUUUGUGGAGUGGUCGAAAAAUGAGUUUUAAUGACUCCAACCUAAUUGUAUGUAAACUUCUGAGUUCAACUGUAUUAAGAUUGUUGAAGAUAAAGAUAUUCCUACAACAUAGGGGAAAACACAGAAAUAGUUUUACAUAGUAAUUGUAUUUCUAUGGGGAAAACAAUUGGAAUGACAUCAUCAGACUUAAAAACUGGAGUCCCUUGAAAGAGAGGUGUCGUAUUGCACCCAUAAUCUAUUUUCCCCCACUUCACAUGAGCUUGAAAGGAGCAGGAAGAGCAGAUGACUUUGAUUGACAGGCAGAAGGGGCUGUGGAUGUAUCAGUGUCUGGCUGGAGGGGAGGGAGGGGUAACUUCCCUGACUGACAGGCAGGGGGCGGGGCUCUCCACAUCCAGAUGGAAAGAGGAAGGAACCAGACUGCUCUUUCUCUACAGAUGGCCAUGUUCAAUUAGAACCACUGAACUCCGUUUCUAUUUCAUGCCCUAAAUGACACAACUAGCUUUUCAUCCAUUGAUGUGUUUUUUUCUUUUCUUAUGUAGUUCAAUAUGCUGACAUAUAGGCUAGGUGUUACAUUUAAGUAUAACACAGUAAGGAAUAUACCUACUGAAUUAGAAACAAUUAUUACUAAUGUAUAAGAGAUAUAAAAAAAGCCCUAUCUAAAUGUUCAGUUAAAAUACCAACCAAUGCCAUCCUUCUUUGUUCCAUAUGUCCAUAUGGUGAGGGUGCAGAAAUGACCGGCACAGCCCCCUUUUAGCAGGGUCCUACAUGUAAAUAAUGGAGUGAGAAAGGGAAUUAAAGGGAUAUGCAAGACUGCACCGGAGAUUGAAAGUUGCAGAUGAGGACCAGUCCGAGACACCAACACUGUUCCAGGACCCUAAAAUCUUUGUGCUCCUCAAAAGGACCAAUUUAGAUUGAUCCAUUUAGAUUCAUUAUCUGAGUUCAGCUAGCCAGAUGUGAUUAGGGGCCAGUCCCCAGGGGACAGAGGAUAGGA